Molecule: long non-coding RNA, 521 nt
Organism: Herpailurus yagouaroundi (jaguarundi)
Lineage: Eukaryota; Metazoa; Chordata; Mammalia; Carnivora; Felidae
Exons: 2
Source: RefSeq, a predicted model, not a curated record
GCUGGACACCUAACCAACCGAGCCACCCAGGCGCCCCAGCCCUCCCCUGUUUUAUGGUUGGGGAUUUCACUGCCUCCAAGCUUCAUGAAAGAUGGUAUUUAUGUUUAUGUCUCAUACUCUUCCUUACUCAGGUGGAAUUAAAUGAAUGAUAUCAAGAGCAUGCUCUAAAGUUGCACAAACAAGUUGUGUCUUUCCACAGUGACAGCUUUAUGCAGUCCUAAAGCAAGGUAAUGUAAUUGUCAAGGGGGUUCAGGAUUCCAAACUCAGUGACAUCGCACCAUGUAAUUAACUCAGCUUCUUAUACAGCACGAAAAGCAGAACAUAAGACAAGUCACGCGACAAACAAGAUAACGGAGGGGCUAACAGACCAAACUUGAAGUCAGUCUGUGGGCGCACAAUGGAGAUAAGCCUCUGGCCAGUCUGAGUCAGCUCCCGGCCCUUACCGCCCAUCACGCUCCAGCAAGGAAGGAUCUCGGUUCUGUUCGGAAGUCCUUGGGCAGCCACUGCUUUCUUUUUAAGUG